AGGUUCUUCUUGCCCACUGCCCUGAAAAUACCAAUGCACUGAGAACAGCAGGUGCUGCAGCAAAGAAGAAUUGGAUGAUCCCAUGGCCAGCCAAGCAGGACGGAAGAAAUUUCUCAAAUCCACUUCCCUGAGAUUCAGAGGCUCAGUCAGUUCCCGGGAGGCAGUCUCAGGACCAGCUGACUUCUCUCGGUCUGUGGAAAUGCUACAUCUGAAAACCAUAUCAAAGACCCAGCGACUUCUGGCUGAUAGGGGCUGGGACUCCCUGCCUGGCCUUGGGCACACACAGGAGCUAAACAACUCUUUGUGGAAUUACCUUUUAGUUUCUUUAUUCUUUAGGUUUCACAAUAGCGAUGUUAUCUAUAGAAGUAGUUGGGGAAGUUAUAAAUCUUGAAACCUCUAGUUAUGUGACUCUGGGGCAGUCAACAAGCUAAGUGAUAUUAGCUUAGCUAACUUAGCUUAGCUUAAGUGACUAAGCUAAGUUAUGGAAAAACAAGCUAAGUGAUGGUUCAAGCCCCUACCAUAAUUCUAACUUCUUGACCUUUCAUUAGCCUUUACAAAUGUGGUUUCAAUUUUUGAACAGGUAGGGGAUCAGUUCACGGAAAGGACUAUUAUGGCCUCCACACAAGAAUGAGCUAAAGCUGGUAGAAAACCUGGUAGAAACAAGAUGGAGUCGGUUACAUCAGAUUUCCCUUACUAAAAUUUUUGCAAAGGCAGUUUCAUCUAUUCCUCCCUCAGACUGGGGCUCCCUCGGGGCAGGGCCAUGUCUCCUCCCUCAGACGGUCUCCCCUUCCUCUCGGCUCCUCUUGCAGGCCCUGGCCUCUGGGGAGAAGGGAUGUUCUUACCAAUUUCUGGAGUAACGGCCAGCCAAUUAAGGUCUGAGCUGGCUGGAACCCAGCUCUCCUGAUGCUUGGCCAGGAGUCUGUCCCCUACCCGGAACAUCCUUAAACUCCUAAUUAUUGCCCUUGAUCUAUGAGCUCCGUGGUCAGCUCUGCCCCCUGUUUGUUCUCUGCUCCCUGUUUGUUCGCAAAAGUUUUGGGAGGCCUGGCCACCAAGCCACUGUCUCCCUAACUGAGGAAGAGGGCAGUCCGAGGGCUGAUACUCCAUAUCUCACCCCUCCCUGGGAGCUAUUAGGCAAGUGAGGUGUUUCCUUUUCUAAAGCCCUCGCUGUUUAGCUACAGGAUUAGUUCUAGUCCAUUUACUCACCAAGUUUGCUGGCCAAACACUGAGACCAGAAAAGCACAUCUCCCUUGCAUAAUAAAUGUUUAAUAAUGACAGUUGGAUUUGGACAGAAAAUGCCCUGGCUGGCAGGCCCGAAGCAACAUUAGCUCCAGAGAGCGUUUAAAGUUCAGCUCCAUUGCCCCCAUCUACCUACACACCUGCUUCCAGGCACUGGAACAUGCAGGCAGCCUUCCUACCUGCCUCCUUCCCACCUACCCACCCUGUGAUGGCAGAGUCAGCGGGAGUUACCCCUUCCCCACCUGUCCCAGGGUCUACUGGGUUUCCGUGUGUGGCCUGUUUCCUUCCUCAACAUCGGAGCUCCCCCAGGGCAGGGCUGUGUGUCCCCCUCAGACUGGGGCUCCCUGAGGACAGGGCUGUGUCUCCCCCAACACCCACUCCAGCCUGGGAUCUCCCUUCUUCAGGCCUCCCUGCUCAGCUCAGCACAGAGCUUGUUCCAUCAGAGGUUGUGGUGUGCCCAGGCUCCAGGAUCAUUUGUAAACAAAGGCCAGAUUCUGUGUCGGUGCUGGCAGAUGUUAAAGAUAACCCCUCUCAGCCCUUUAGGAAUUAGUCUAAAAUACAUGAUUGUAUUUCAGGAGCCUUAAGGGUGUUUCUGAAACCUUGGGGCCCAAGACAGUUAUAACAUAUGUCCAUUUUAGACUUUGGAAAAUAGGGCGCUAUAAUUGGAAAAGCUAGUGCAGUGCUAAGUACAGGGAGCCGGUCUCUUUACAUCUCAAAUACCAGGUAUUUAGGUGGCUUUCUUGGAACCUGGCAUUAGGGACACGUGUGAACGGGCCAGGCUCAUUUCUGAGGAGUGAGUGGGAGCGGCCAGUGAGGGUGCUCAGGUGGGGUGGGCAGCACCAUCUCUGAGCCCUGAAGCUAAUGCUCCUGCUCCUGGGACAUGGACCCCAGACUCGCCCCCUUCGCCCUCUUCUCUUCUAAUCUGGGCUUUCUCGGUCCCCAGGAGCACUUGGUAGACUCAAGGUUGGAAAUUGUGCCCUAAACCGUGCCAGACCCUGGCUUUCUCCAAAGGUGGAAAAUGGGAGCCCUACUAUUUGCCGGAGUGUGGUUGCUAUGCCUUGGGUACUGGCGCCAGACUGUCUGAGUUCCAAUCUUACCAUCCCCAUUCAGGCAAGUUACCUAACCUUUCUGGGCCUCUAUUUCCUCAUCUAUAAAAUGGGAUGAAAGUUAUAAUACCUACCUGCCAGGAUUGUUGAGAUGAUUAAUGCAAUAAUUUACAUGAAGCAUUUUGCACAGUGGCUGGCACAUAGUAAGAACUCAAUAAAUGUUCACUACU
Molecule: long non-coding RNA, 2512 nt
Filed under: Homo sapiens (human)
Lineage: Eukaryota; Metazoa; Chordata; Mammalia; Primates; Hominidae
Description: HSALNT0334358
Source: RNAcentral